This 72-nucleotide transfer RNA is filed under the name Chloroflexota bacterium. RNAcentral describes it as "Chloroflexi bacterium (sediment metagenome) tRNA-Gln". It matches the Rfam family "tRNA". Rfam says of the family: Transfer RNA (tRNA) molecules are approximately 80 nucleotides in length. RNAcentral also lists the same sequence under 2 other names. The record is from RNAcentral. Lineage: Bacteria; Bacillati; Chloroflexota.
UGGGGAGUGGCCAAGCGGCAAGGCAGCGGCCUUUGGAGCCGCCUAUCGCAGGUUCGAAUCCUGCCUCCCCAG